This 1439-nucleotide ribosomal RNA is filed under the name uncultured organism. RNAcentral describes it as "SSU rRNA". It matches the Rfam family "Bacterial small subunit ribosomal RNA". The record is from RNAcentral.
AGGCUUAACACAUGCAAGUCGAGGGGCAGCAUGGUCUUAGCUUGCUAAGGCCGAUGGCGACCGGCGCACGGGUGAGUAACACGUAUCCAACCUGCCGUCUACUCUUGGACAGCCUUCUGAAAGGAAGAUUAAUACAAGAUGGCAUCAUGAGUCCGCAUGUUCACAUGAUUAAAGGUAUUCCGGUAGACGAUGGGGAUGCGUUCCAUUAGAUAGUAGGCGGGGUAACGGCCCACCUAGUCUUCGAUGGAUAGGGGUUCUGAGAGGAAGGUCCCCCACAUUGGAACUGAGACACGGUCCAAACUCCUACGGGAGGCAGCAGUGAGGAAUAUUGGUCAAUGGGCGAGAGCCUGAACCAGCCAAGUAGCGUGAAGGAUGACUGCCCUAUGGGUUGUAAACUUCUUUUAUAAAGGAAUAAAGUCGGGUAUGGAUACCCGUUUGCAUGUACUUUAUGAAUAAGGAUCGGCUAACUCCGUGCCAGCAGCCGCGGUAAUACGGAGGAUCCGAGCGUUAUCCGGAUUUAUUGGGUUUAAAGGGAGCGUAGAUGGAUGUUUAAGUCAGUUGUGAAAGUUUGCGGCUCAACCGUAAAAUUGCAGUUGAUACUGGAUAUCUUGAGUGCAGUUGAGGCAGGCGGAAUUCGUGGUGUAGCGGUGAAAUGCUUAGAUAUCACGAAGAACUCCGAUUGCGAAGGCAGCCUGCUAAGCUGCAACUGACAUUGAGGCUCGAAAGUGUGGGUAUCAAACAGGAUUAGAUACCCUGGUAGUCCACACGGUAAACGAUGAAUACUCGCUGUUUGCGAUAUACUGCAAGCGGCCAAGCGAAAGCGUUAAGUAUUCCACCUGGGGAGUACGCCGGCAACGGUGAAACUCAAAGGAAUUGACGGGGGCCCGCACAAGCGGAGGAACAUGUGGUUUAAUUCGAUGAUACGCGAGGAACCUUACCCGGGCUUAAAUUGCAGAUGAAUUACGGUGAAAGCCGUAAGCCGCAAGGCAUCUGUGAAGGUGCUGCAUGGUUGUCGUCAGCUCGUGCCGUGAGGUGUCGGCUUAAGUGCCAUAACGAGCGCAACCCUUGUUGUCAGUUACUAACAGGUUCCGCUGAGGACUCUGACAAGACUGCCAUCGUAAGAUGUGAGGAAGGUGGGGAUGACGUCAAAUCAGCACGGCCCUUACGUCCGGGGCUACACACGUGUUACAAUGGGGGGUACAGAGGGCCGCUACCACGCGAGUGGAUGCCAAUCUCAAAAACCUCUCUCAGUUCGGACUGGAGUCUGCAACCCGACUCCACGAAGCUGGAUUCGCUAGUAAUCGCGCAUCAGCCACGGCGCGGUGAAUACGUUCCCGGGCCUUGUACACACCGCCCGUCAAGCCAUGGGAGCCGGGGGUACCUGAAGUGCGUAACCGCGAGGAGCGCCCUAGGGUAAAACUGGUGACUGGGGCUAAGUA